AUUGAACGCUGGCGGUAUGCUUAACACAUGCAAGUCGAACGGUAACAGGCCUUCGGGCGCUGACGGGUGGCGGACGGGUGAGUAACGCGUAGGAAUCUGCCUCAUAGUGGGGGACAACGUGGGGAAACUCACGCUAAUACCGCAUACGCCCUACGGGGGAAAGCGGGGGAGUCUUCGGACCUCGCGCUAUGAGAUGAGCCUGCGUUAGAUUAGCUAGUUGGUAGGGUAAAGGCCUACCAAGGCGACGAUCUAUAGCUGGUCUGAGAGGACGAUCAGCCACACUGGGACUGAGACACGGCCCAGACUCCUACGGGAGGCAGCAGUGGGGAAUAUUGGACAAUGGGCGCAAGCCUGAUCCAGCAAUACCGCGUGUGUGAAGAAGGCCUUAGGGUUGUAAAGCACUUUCAAUUGGGAGGAAAACCUGCCGGUCAAUACCGGCAGCUUGACAUUACCUUUAAGAAGAAGCACCGGCUAACUCCGUGCCAGCAG
Molecule: ribosomal RNA, 489 nt
Filed under: uncultured bacterium
Lineage: Bacteria
Description: bacterial SSU rRNA
Rfam family: Bacterial small subunit ribosomal RNA
Source: RNAcentral